AGCUCAGACGUGUGUGUGGUUGGAGACCCCUGGUAUACAGGAAGUAUUCAGCUCAGACGUGUGUGUGGUUGGAGACCCCUGGUAUACAGGAAGUAUGCAGCUCAGACGUGUGUGUGUGGUUGGAGACCCCUGGUAUACAGGAAGUAUGCAGCUCAGACGUGUGUGUGGUUGGAGACCCCUGGUAUACAGGAAGUAUGCAGCUCAGACGUGUGUGUGGUUGGAGACCCCUGGUAUACAGGAAGUAUUCAGCUCAGACGUGUGUGUGUGUGGUUGGUACCCCUGGUAUACAGGAAGUAUGCAGCUCAGACGUGCGUGUGUGUGGUUGGAGACCCCUGGUAUACAGGAAGUAUGCAGCUCAGACG
Oncorhynchus tshawytscha (Chinook salmon) is the source of this 362-nucleotide long non-coding RNA. The record is from Ensembl. NCBI's taxonomy places the organism in Eukaryota, Metazoa, Chordata, Actinopteri, Salmoniformes, Salmonidae.